GAUGAACGCUGGCGGCGUGCCUAAUACAUGCAAGUCGAACGCACAGCGAAAGGUGCUUGCACCUUUCAAGUGAGUGGCGAACGGGUGAGUAACACGUGGACAACCUGCCUCAAGGCUGGGGAUAACAUUUGGAAACAGAUGCUAAUACCGAAUAAAACUUAGUGUCGCAUGACACAAAGUUAAAAGGCGCUUUGGCGUCACCUAGAGAUGGAACCGCGGUGCAUUAGUUAGCUGGUGGGGUAAAGGCCUACCAAGACAAUGAUGCAUAGCCGAGUUGAGAGACUGAUCGGCCACAUUGGGACUGAGACACGGCCCAAACUCCUACGGGAGGCUGCAGUAGGGAAUCUUCCACAAUGGGCGAAAGCCUGAUGGAGCAACGCCGCGUGUGUGAUGAAGGCUUUCGGGUCGUAAAGCACUGUUGUAUGGGAAGAACAGCUAGAAUAGGGAAUGAUUUUAGUUUGACGGUACCAUACCAGAAAGGGACGGCUAAAUACGUGCCAGCCGCCGCUGUAA
This 513-nucleotide ribosomal RNA is filed under the name uncultured bacterium. Its description in RNAcentral is "partial 16S ribosomal RNA". It matches the Rfam family "Bacterial small subunit ribosomal RNA", at positions 28 to 523 of the family's 1533-position model. The record is from RNAcentral.